AUGAACGCUGGCGGCGUGCCUAAUACAUGCAAGUCGCGCGAACAGACGAGGAGCUUGCUCCUCUGACGUUAGCGGCGGACGGGUGAGUAACACGUGGAUAACCUACCUAUAAGACUGGGAUAACUUCGGGAAACCGGAGCUAAUACCGGAUAAUAUAUUGAACCGCAUGGUUCAAUAGUGAAAGACGGUUUUGCUGUCACUUAUAGAUGGAUCCGCGCCGCAUUAGCUAGUUGGUAAGGUAACGGCUUACCAAGGCAACGAUGCGUAGCCGACCUGAGAGGGUGAUCGGCCACACUGGAACUGAGACACGGUCCAGACUCCUACGGGAGGCAGCAGUAGGGAAUCUUCCGCAAAGGGCGAAAGCUUGACGGAGCAACGCCGCGUGAGUGAUGAAGGUCUUCGGAUCGUAAAACUCUGUUAUUAGGGAAGAACAAAUGUGUAAGUAACUAUGCACGUCUUGACGGUACCUAAUCAGAAAGCCACGGCUAACUACGUG
Molecule: ribosomal RNA, 496 nt
Filed under: uncultured bacterium
Lineage: Bacteria
Description: partial 16S ribosomal RNA
Rfam family: Bacterial small subunit ribosomal RNA
Source: RNAcentral